CCUAAAUACUCCCUGGUGACCGAUAGCGAACAAGUACCGUGAGGGAAAGGUGAAAAGCACCCCGAUGAGGGGAGUGAAAUAGACCUGAAACCGAAUGCCUACAAGCAGUCGGAGCCUCUUAUGGGGGUGACGGCGUACCUUUUGUAUAAUGGGUCAGCGAGUUUCUGUUCGCGGCAAGCUUAAGCCGGUAGGUGUAGGCGCAGCGAAAGCGAGUCUGAACAGGGCGUUCAGUCGCGGGCAGAAGACCCGAAACCGAGUGAUCUAGCCAUGGCCAGGCUGAAGGUGGGGUAACACCCACUGGAGGGCCGAACCCACGCCUGUUGAAAAAGUCGGGGAUGAGCUGUGGCUAGGGGUGAAAGGCCAAUCAAACUCGGAGAUAGCUGGUUCUCCGCGAAAUCUAUUGAGGUAGAUCGUCAUGUGUUUACCCCGGGGGGUAGAGCACUGGAUGGGCUAGGGGGUCCCAAAGACUUACCAAACCUAACCAAACUCCGAAUACCCGGGAGUAUAGCGUGGCAGACAGACGGCGGGUGCUAAGGUCCGUCGUCGAGAGGGAAACAGCCCAGACC
This 566-nucleotide ribosomal RNA is filed under the name uncultured bacterium. RNAcentral's name for it is "bacterial LSU rRNA". It matches the Rfam family "Bacterial large subunit ribosomal RNA", at positions 465 to 1033 of the family's 2925-position model. The record is from RNAcentral.